Molecule: ribosomal RNA, 465 nt
Filed under: Vreelandella stevensii
Lineage: Bacteria; Pseudomonadati; Pseudomonadota; Gammaproteobacteria; Oceanospirillales; Halomonadaceae
Description: partial 16S ribosomal RNA
Rfam family: Bacterial small subunit ribosomal RNA
Source: RNAcentral
CCUACGGGAGGCUGCAGUGGGGAAUAUUGGACAAUGGGGGGAACCCUGAUCCAGCCAUGCCGCGUGUGUGAAGAAGGCCCUCGGGUUGUAAAGCACUUUCAGUGAGGAAGAACGCCUGGUGGUUAAUACCCAUCAGGAAAGACAUCACUCACAGAAGAAGCACCGGCUAACUCCGUGCCAGCAGCCGCGGUAAUACGGAGGGUGCGAGCGUUAAUCGGAAUUACUGGGCGUAAAGCGCGCGUAGGUGGCUUGAUAAGCCGGUUGUGAAAGCCCCGGGCUCAACCUGGGAACGGCAUCCGGAACUGCCAAGCUAGAGUGCAGGAGAGGAAGGUAGAAUUCCCGGUGUAGCGGUGAAAUGCGUAGAGAUCGGGAGGAAUACCAGUGGCGAAGGCGGCCUUCUGGACUGACACUGACACUGAGGUGCGAAAGCGUGGGUAGCAAACAGGAUUAGAUACCCCUGUAGUC